Molecule: ribosomal RNA, 406 nt
Filed under: uncultured bacterium
Lineage: Bacteria
Description: partial 16S ribosomal RNA
Rfam family: Bacterial small subunit ribosomal RNA
Source: RNAcentral
AUUGAACGCUGGCGGCAGGCCUAACACAUGCAAGUCGAACGAGUGGCGGACGGGUGAGUAAUGGCUGGGAAACUGCCCGAAGGAGGGGGAUAACUACUGGAAAAGGUAGCUAAUACCGCAUACCAUCGGAUGUGCCCAGAUGGGAUUAGCUAGUAGGUGGGGUAACGGCUCACCUAGGCGACGAUACCUAGCUGGUCUGAGAGGAUGACCAGCCACACUGGAACUUAACCACGGUCCAGACUCCUACGGGAGGCAGCAGUGGGGAAGAUUGCACAAUGGGCGAAAGCCUGAUGCAGCCAUGCCGCGUGUAUGAAGAAGGCCUUCGGGUUGUAAAGUACUUUCAGCGAGGAGGCGUUACUCGCACAAGAAGCACCGGCUAACUCCGUGCCAGCAGCCGCGGUAAUAC